GGCCCCGUAGUUUAAUGGAUAAAACGGAGGUUUCCGGUACCUCUGAUGGCAGUUCGAUUCUGCCCGGGGCUACUA
This 75-nucleotide transfer RNA is filed under the name Spirosomataceae bacterium TFI 002. RNAcentral's name for it is "Cytophagales bacterium TFI 002 tRNA_Arg_CCG". It matches the Rfam family "tRNA". From Rfam's summary of the family: Transfer RNA (tRNA) molecules are approximately 80 nucleotides in length. Their secondary structure includes four short double-helical elements and three loops (D, anti-codon, and T loops). The record is from RNAcentral. Lineage: Bacteria; Pseudomonadati; Bacteroidota; Cytophagia; Cytophagales; Spirosomataceae.